Cyprinus carpio (common carp) is the source of this 1944-nucleotide long non-coding RNA. The record is from Ensembl. NCBI's taxonomy places the organism in Eukaryota, Metazoa, Chordata, Actinopteri, Cypriniformes, Cyprinidae.
GAUGACAGAAAAAAAGAAGUUAAAAUGUCACUUUUGAUUGGACACAUAAAAGUAAUACAUCACUUGAAUCUGUAAAGGGGCUACUUUUAUUUGUGUAUGCUCAUCAUAUCAGCAAAACCUUGUGCUCUUGUAAAAUAAAGAAAACGAACCGGGUGCUCAUAAAGACAGCCAAUUGUUUCUAAAUGAAUCAGUGUUCUAUAAGUGAAUCAGAUGAAUGAAUGAUUCAAUGAAUCAAUCAUAAAUACAGUCAUUUGUUUAGUUUCUGAACAAUUUUGUGUUUUAAAUGAAUUAUUUUAUGGGUGGGGGCUGCAUCCCCAUAUCCACACUUCCCGACUAUAUAACUUAGCAUACACAAUCAACAUGCAACUGAUGCUGAUAGGCUACAUAAGAAGAACAGCAUGACCAAUGUACACUAGUACAUUCAGAUUUCAUUUAUACCACACACACACACACACACACACACACACACACACACAUCCUAUAUAGAAUAAACUGCAAAUGCAGCCAGUUUUUUUUUUCCGUUUUUUUAUUUUUAUUUAUUAUUUAUUAAUUUAUUUAUUUUUACUGAUAAUCUAGUGCCACACCUCUUGAAACAAAUGUAUACUUCAUUCAGGAUGUGGCAUACAACAUUUAUAUGUAUGCCUCACAAUAAAGCUAUCAUAUAAUUUCAAAAGACUUGAAACAGUGUCUCAGUGACUGCUUUUAGAACACUGCUUUUCAGUUCAUACAGGUUCGGAACAAAAUGAGGUUCCGAUGUUAGAGAGUUGAUUUGUUUGCUGAACUGUUCCUUUAAGUAGAGGGCUGAAUUUUGGUUGACUGGUCAAGUCAUUUAUCCCCUGUGUUCUUCAUGGUUCCAUGGUCUCCUGACAGUGGACAAGUGGCGUCCAGUGGACACCUGCGAGGUCAACCUGAAAAACAUAUGAAUUUGCCGGCAGCUUAUUCAGAGAGAGACAAACUGAGGGAUACAAACAGAUGUUAGUUCUGUUCUCCCAGUAAGUAUGAUAUUUUGAUGGCAGGUAUAUGAUUUACAGAAUAAUUUUACAAAAGGAGUCACUCUAUCAAAUACGAAAAAUGUGGUUCUAGAAAAAAAAAAUGUUUUAGAAAAACAUUAUUUCAGUUAAAUUGAAUUUAUUUCAUUUAUACUGUACUUGUGUAUUUGCAAAGUAAGCUUUAGCAUUAUUCAGUAGCGAGCGAUUGGGGCUCAUAGGGAGUUUUAUGUUACAGUCAUGGCCCUGUCUAAAGGUUGUUUUCACACACAGUUUGAAAUGCUUUCCUUGUAGUUAAUAUUGCAUGUUGUUUGUAAAUCCUCCGCUUCUUUCGCUGAACAGACACUAUCCCUGCCCCACUAAACCAAGCAACCUCCUUUUACAAUGCAACGCUAAAUGAAUAAUAGAUUCAUAGUGAUACAUUGUGGACUCCAGGGCCCAAGGCAUGGAGGUGUUCGGAGGUAAGCGCAUUUAAAUGAAAUAAUAAUUAACUCCAGCUGCAUUGACCAAAUCAGGGGGCAUAUAAUUUCUCAGUGAACUUUAGGAUAUUAAGUUUGUGGAGAACAGUUCCAGAUAUGUGAGGUUGAUGAUUCUGACUGUUUCAAGUGCCGUUUAACAAUUUAAACAGCUUCUGUUAAUAAUUAACAACUAAUAGCAUGCCUAGUCUUUCAGAGUUUUUAUUUUUAAUAAGUAAUGAUUAUGAUUAUAUUACUGGUAUGACCACUGUGAGAGACAGACCAUAUGUGUGGGUUGUUUGCCAUAUUUAGCUUGAAACUGAGCUGUUUUAUGAACAGUUUGGUCUGAAGCUUACUUAUUGUGUGAUUGCAGUUUUCUCUUUCCUUCAGGUAUAAGAACUGACCCAGUUAAAAUGCAUAUUUCAUGUAAAAUACAUUUCAUUUCAUGCUGUUCAUCACAUCUCCUGUCUCUUUUUGAUGGAACAAAAGCUUGUAUAAUAAUG